This 1812-nucleotide ribosomal RNA is filed under the name Triticum aestivum (bread wheat). RNAcentral's name for it is "partial small subunit ribosomal RNA". The record is from RNAcentral. Lineage: Eukaryota; Viridiplantae; Streptophyta; Magnoliopsida; Poales; Poaceae.
AUGUCGAUCCUCGUAGUCAUGCAGUUUUUCAUGGUUGCCUCCCUUUGCCUCCCGUGUUCGGCCAACACCAUGCAUGCAGCCACCUUGUCCGCUGCUGAAAUUUCCACAACAAGCGCCACUGACCACCAAGCGCUCAUGUCAUUGAGAUCUAUGAUCAAAGAAGAUCCGUUCCAAGCACUGAAUUCAUGGGAAAACCAGUCAAUCCCUAUGUGCCAAUGGCGCGGAGUGGCCUGUGGCACGCGCGGCCACCCCCGUGGCCGUGUCGUAGCACUGGAUCUUCAUGGGCUCAACCUUCUUGGCACCAUUUCCUCUUCCAUAGGUAAUCUAACUUACCUCAGGCAUUUUGGCCUCCAAGAGAACCGCUUUUAUGGUACCAUACCAACAGAGGUUGGGCAUCUUGUACAACUCAAGUAUCUGAACGUCAGCAGGAACUCCAUCGGCAGGGAGAUCCCGCCGACACUGGCCACUUGUGUUCAGCUUCGAGUUAUUGAUUUGAGGCACAACAUGCAUAAAGGCUCAGUGCCUCAGGAGUUGGCAUCCCUGGAUAAUCUUGAGGUACUGGCUCUUGGGUACAACAACCUUACAGGAAGUAUUCCUGUGGAAAUUGGAAACCUGAAAGCCCUGAAGUAUCUUCAUCUGAGAGCAAACCUGCUAGUAGGAGAAAUACCAGUGGAGGUUGGAAAUCUUAGAAACUUGACCGAUUUAUAUCUUAAUUUCAAUGGUCUGUCAGGUUCUGUUCCUGCAUCUCUUGGAGGCCUCCAGAAAUUGCAGAUUCUGUAUCUAUCGGGAAACCAGCUCUCAGGGCUGAUUCCACCUUCCCUAGGAAACCUCUCAUCUCUACUAGUUCUAGAUGUCCAAAAAAAUGGCCUAACUGGAAGCAUCCCUGAAUCGUUAGGAAAUCUGAAUCUCCUCAACGUCCUUUCUCUCACAUCUAAUAGUUUUACAGGCUCAAUCCCUCACACUCUUGGAAAACUAAGUUCUCUCGUUGAGUUUUAUCUGAAUGGGAAUCAACUCGAGGGUUCUAUACCACCUUCUGUCUAUAAUCUUUCAUCCCUCCAAUAUUUUGUCGUGGAAGUCAACAACCUCAGUGGAUCUGUUUCAGAUGACUUGGGUAAUAAGUUUCCACAACUCAAGCAACUUAGCAUAGGCCAUAAUCAAUUUCAUGGGUCCAUCCCAGAGUCUUUGUGCAAUGCUUCAAUGCUUGAAAUCGUUCAAUUGGGUCACACCUUUCUUUCCGGCGUAAUACCAAAAUGUCUUGGAGCUAUGAAGAGCUUAUUGGUAUUGUUUCUCCAAUCUGGUCAGCUAGAGGCAAGGAAUGACGCUGAUUGGGACUUCAUUUCUAGCCUGACAAAUUGUAGUAUGCUGCAGUACCUAGAUCUAGGCAAUAACAAACUAGAAGGGGUGCUACCAAAUUCAAUAGCAAAUCUUUCCACAAACUUAAUAAUUCUCGGCUUGGCAAACAACAUGCUACAGGGAAAUAUACCUGAAGGAAUUGGAAACCUUGUCAACUUGCAAUACUUGCACUUGGAAGAUAAUUUGCUACAUGGAAAAAUUCCUGAGUCGAUUGGCAACCUUGCAAUCCUGGGUGAACUAUACUUGUCAAACAACAGUUUAUCUGGACCAAUUCCACCAAAACUUGGAAAUCUCACAGCAUUAAACAGACUCGUCCUCGCCCAAAAUGUGCUUACUGGCCCCAUACCAUCCAGCCUUAGAAGCUGUCCAUUGGAGACACUAAGCCUACAAUUCAAUAAGCUUGUUGGUCCUAUACCAAAAGAGAUUUUCCUCAUAUCCUGGGUGAACUAUACUAGUUAA